RNAcentral lists this long non-coding RNA (419 nucleotides) under Bos taurus (domestic cattle). Its description in RNAcentral is "long non-coding RNA NONBTAT015639". Lineage: Eukaryota; Metazoa; Chordata; Mammalia; Artiodactyla; Bovidae. The record is from RNAcentral.
UGCACCAUCACCAACAGAAAUACCAGUGUUUUUGUACUAAAGAAAAUGGAAUAUAUGAAUCUUGAAAGUUCCUACUGCAAUUAAUAUGAAAAUAUUUCAGAGAGAGUAGGCCAUUUUUGAGAGAGGUUUAAAAUCUUUAUUGCGGACAUAUUCCUUAAAGGCAUUUUGAAUACUCCUAUCACACCUGAAAAAGAAUAAAAAAUGAGAACAGAUGGUGCCUGUGAGGAAGCUGACUCAACCAAAGUGGAGGAUGUUGUGCUGGACAGCUGCCCUGUUGUCUCAAAGCCAUUCCUGGCCUUCUGUGGUUUCAGGUGACGGCCAGCUCUAGACAACACUCAGAAUACAAGUUUAGAAAUGGGUGCACCUAAUAUUAUAGGUGGGAAGGAAGAGAGAUAAUGGUAUCAGUAGCGGUGCUGGGG